CGAGUAAAGUGGCAGACGGGUGAGUAACACGUGAACAACCUACCCUUGAGUGUGGGAUAACACCGCGAAAGCGGUGCUAAUACCGCAUGACAUCUUUGAGUCGCAUGGCUUGGAGAUCAAAGUCGGAAGGCGCUUGAGGAGGGGUUCGCGGCUGAUUAGCUAGUUGGUGAGGUAACGGCCCACCAAGGCGACGAUCAGUAGCCGGCCUGAGAGGGCGAACGGCCACACUGGAACUGAGACACGGUCCAGACUCCUACGGGAGGCAGCAGUGGGGAAUUUUGCGCAAUGGGCGAAAGCCUGACGCAGCAACGCCGCGUGGAGGAUGAAGGCCUUCGGGUCGUAAACUCCUGUCAGUGGGGACGAAAGCCCCGAAAGGGGAUUGACUGUACCCGCUGAGGAAGCCACGGCUAACUCCGUGCCAGCAGCCGCGGUAAUACGGAGGUGGCAAGCGUUGUUCGGAAUUACUGGGCGUAAAGGGCGCGUAGGCGGCUUGACAAGUCAGAUGUGAAAGCCCCGGGCUUAACCCGGGAAUUGCAUCUGAAACUGUUGAGCUUGAGUUCUGGAGGGGGUAGUGGAAUUCCCAGUGUAGCGGUGAAAUGCGUAGAUAUUGGGAGGAACACCUGCGGCGAAGGCGGCUACCUGGACAGGAACUGACGCUGAGGCGCGAAAGCUAGGGGAGCGAACGGGAUUAGAUACCCCGGUAGUCCUAGCU
This 712-nucleotide ribosomal RNA is filed under the name uncultured bacterium. Its description in RNAcentral is "bacterial SSU rRNA". It matches the Rfam family "Bacterial small subunit ribosomal RNA", at positions 87 to 801 of the family's 1533-position model. The record is from RNAcentral.